UGAAAAUCUGAUUCAGUGCCUGAAUCGUAUUGUGCUUUCUUGGCUUGCAAGUCACUAUCAUCAAUCUGAGUAUUGCAAAUUUCUUGUAAAAAUGUUGGUCUGGCUCUUAACUCUGACAAAACUGAGCCAUCAUCUAACAAGGCCAACUGUGUGUUCAAGGCUCUCAAGGCAAAUAAGGAUUUUAUGCUUAGUGCAUCUGCGACCACAUUCGCCUUUCCCGGG
RNAcentral lists this long non-coding RNA (222 nucleotides) under Gossypium barbadense (sea-island cotton). RNAcentral's name for it is "long non-coding RNA (GBAR_LNC007057)". Lineage: Eukaryota; Viridiplantae; Streptophyta; Magnoliopsida; Malvales; Malvaceae. The record is from RNAcentral.